RNAcentral lists this ribosomal RNA (497 nucleotides) under uncultured bacterium. RNAcentral describes it as "partial 16S ribosomal RNA". It matches the Rfam family "Bacterial small subunit ribosomal RNA", at positions 28 to 507 of the family's 1533-position model. The record is from RNAcentral.
GAUGAACGCUGGCGGCGUGCCUAAUACAUGCAAGUCGAGCGAACGGACGAGAAGCUUGCUUCUCUGAUGUUAGCGGCGGACGGGUGAGUAACACGUGGAUAACCUACCUAUAAGACUGGGAUAACUUCGGGAAACCGGAGCUAAUACCGGAUGAUAUUUUGAACCGCAUGGUUCAAAAGUGAAAGACGGUCUUGCUGUCACUUAUAGAUGGAUCCGCGCUGCAUUAGCUAGUUGGUAAGGUAACGGCUUACCAAGGCAACGAUGCAUAGCCGACCUGAGAGGGGGAUCGGGCACACUGGAACUGAGACACGGUCCAGACUCCUACGGGAGGCAGCAGUAGGGAAUCUUCCGCAAUGGGCGAAAGCCUGACGGAGCAACGCCGCGUGAGUGAUGAAGGUCUUCGGAUCGUAAAACUCUGUUAUUAGGGAAGAACAUAUGUGUAAGUAACUGUGCACAUCUUGACGGUACCUAAUCAGAAAGCCACGGCUAACUACGUG